UACGGAGGGUCCAAGCGUUGCGCGGAUUUACUGGGCUUAAAGCGUGCGUAGGCGGAAGCACAAGCGUCUUGUGAAAGCCCACGGCUCAACCGUGGAAUUGCAGGGCGAACUGUGUUUCUUGAGGCCGGUAGAGGGUGCCGGAACUCUGGGUGUAGCGGUGAAAUGCGUAGAUAUCCAGAGGAACGCCGAUGGUGAAGACAGGCGCCUGGGCCGGUUCUGACGCUGAGGCACGAAAGCAUGGGUAGCGAACAGG
Molecule: unclassified non-coding RNA, 253 nt
Filed under: uncultured Phycisphaeraceae bacterium
Lineage: Bacteria; Pseudomonadati; Planctomycetota; Phycisphaerae; Phycisphaerales; Phycisphaeraceae
Description: contains 16S-23S intergenic spacer region
Rfam family: Bacterial small subunit ribosomal RNA
Source: RNAcentral